GAGGACACUAAGACGACAAGGUUUUGUGUCCAGGGAUGCCCAGUCAUCCUACAAAGCUGAUUUCUGAAAAGGAGGGGACAGAUGCAUAACUUCUUCCCCAGUGGUGACCUGGGUCUGGGAUCUCAGACCAGAUGAUCUUGAGGGUCCCUUUCAGGAGACACCGGCAAGAAAUGAAAGUGAAAUCAGGGGAUAGUGUCAUCAGUCAGCACAAAUGUGACAAAGUUCAGAGAGCUGUUUACUUAGGCACAACUGCGCCUGCCAGCCAGUCAUAAGCUCGGGGCUUAUGCUCGGGGCUGCAUCGUUCCCGUCUCCACCGGCCUCGUUUCUGGAACCUGACAUUAGGAGGCAGCGAGAGAGAAGAAUCAAGCGAACCUGACUUCCUGCUCCUCCUCUUUAUGAGUGUUUUGUGGGUUCUGCAUCUUCUUUUUGGGAAAACAAUCCACAGAUCCAGGGAGCAUGGCGCCUCGCAAGCGGUGGAGCAUUCUUUCCAGGGAUGUGGGACAGAGCAUUAGAAGAGGCAACGUGGCUUAUGAUGAAGCCUCGACCUCAUAGCCAGCAGGUCCUAUUUCCUGGGGAAGGUGAGCUGGCUCAAGCUGCUGGAAGACUGUGAUUGGUGUAUGCUAGGGUUCCUUGACAGGUGUUUCCCAGGCAGGCAGACUUGGGUUUAGAUUUGUGACCUGGGCUGGGCCACUGGGGCCGCCUCACUUUCUGAGUCCCAAUAUACAACCUACCUUGAUCAGCCAAAAAUCUAGACUUGAAUAGACUUUGGGAGGGGACGCCCCCGAUCCCCAGCUCUUCUGUGAGGACACAGAUCUUUUGCCCACUCAGCCGCAGUAGGGAGGUGGAGGUACUAACAGCAAAGACCCUGGCAGAGCAGAGAACACAAAGGAGCAGCAACCUCGGCCCCUUCCUGCAGCAUCCCGCCCACCAGGAAGCAUCAGGCCUCAGUCAGCACCCCACUAAGAGUGACCAGGGAAAGAUUCACUUCCUGAGGAAUGGAGGGAGAGGCCCCAUAGCACCUGCCACUCAGUUUGCCUGUGAUUUGCUUUCUUUGAGUUAUUUUAGUGAGUUACAAAGCCAUUCCAUAUGCGUUACAAACUCUCCAGGUAAGAACCGCAUCCUCCUGUGUGGGGAUGGAGGUGAAGUCCGAGAAAACUUAGCCUCCUUUCUGGCCAACUCUCAAAAUAACUUUUGCAAAACUGAAGGUCUAAGUCUAAGUGACCAUCUAUCAUCCUUUCCCUCCUCUUCUUUCCUUUUGACUGCCGGGGGCAAACUACGUUCACCAGUUUUACAGCAGGGUUAGUGGGCAGAACCGCCAGAGACAACGCCUGGCACUGCUCCGACCCCAGUUCAGGAACUCUCCGCACCUUCAGCCCCACCACCUGGGGCCUCGCACCUUAGGUUCGGGGGAGCAGGGGCUUGAGUUAAUGAAGCACCUAGUGAGGAUAUAAUCCAAACCUCUCACCCUGGCCUCCAAGGUCCCUUUACCAGUCCAGCCUCGUCCUGUCCCCUCAGUCACUGGGCUGUCACCCAGCCCCUGGUCUGUUCCUCUCCCAACCCGGUAUUUAUAACCACUGCACUCUGUUUCUAGAAGGCUCUUCCCCUGGCUCUUUCACACCCCUCAGGCCUCAAAUCAAAUGUCUGCUUCACAGACAGGCCUUCCCUGACCCUCCAAUGGAGACCCAUCACUUCCUUCUACCAGGUUCUCUCCUUCACAUCAACCUGUUUAUUUGCUUCCCAAAUCUCUUCAAAAAUUAUAAUCAUCUUUUUAAAAAUACAUGUUUGGUGUUGGUCUCCCCAACCAGAGUGCAAGCUCAAGGAAGGCAAGCCCCUGCUUUGCCCCGCAUGUUACCGAUUCCCCAGGGCCUGUGACUCAGGGAAUCGUCCAACAUGUACCAUUGCUGGAGUCGCAAGAGGAAACCCUGGCCUCGUCCGCAGAAGGGGGGCAGUGACUCUCCAUGUGAGCGCGGGAGAGAGCGCGGGAAGCAGCACAAUCGAGAGUGGCAGCAAAGGCCGUCACUCUUUGCUGGUACUGUUAUUUGUCUUCACACUCUGCCUUGGGGCCUGUGAAUCCUGGCCCCCCAUAAACUGCACUGUGAAGCCCCCCAGUAAAAACCAAACGAGGAUGGGUCCCAAGGUGCAGGCGUUUCCUCAUUUUUAAGGAUUUUUCCCCCGCCGCGGUAAUUUUUUUUUGACCUUUGUUCCCAGCUGGAUCAUCUGCUUACUAGCAGAGCUAAUGAGCAACAAGACAACUGGACAAACAGCAGGUUAAUAUUACUGGGGCCGCUGAGGCAGGCUAUUGCAGUAGCUUGUUGGGGGUGGGGGGCGGCGAGUGCUCCGCCUCCACGCUGCAGUCUCAGGGUGUAGUCAUGUUUCUGCUGGCCAAGCUGUUUUUAUUUACAUGGAAAAAUUAAGUAAAUCCAGACGUCACAGUGUUCCAUAAAAAGCCACUGCUGGCCCGGCCAUCCACGCGGCAUCUGAAACCCAGGCUGCUGCUUCCAUCUUACAACAUUUGGGAAACAGCACUGUGGCCUCGUUUUCAAAAGUAAGAACCUGAGCUCACGUUUCUGCCAAAGCAAACAUGACACAUUUCCCUUUCUUCUUCCCUUUUUAUUUUCGUCAGGAGCCACACCCAAACCAGAACACGCUCAUGCUCAAUGAGUUCAGCUAGACAGAUUUUCGCCAGGGCUGGAGGCCCCCUCUGACAAGCUGGCUCUCUCCUCUGUCAGAUUCUGUUUUUCUGACUUUCUUCCGCUCGUAUUUUCUUCCCCGGGCUUCGCUCCCCACCAUUCACGUCGCAGCCCCACCCUCCGCCCCUGCCCUGCUCUUCCCUCGUGUCCCCUUUCUCCCCUGGACCACACAGCCUCCACCGCAGCACCAGAGCAGGCAGCACAGUCCACCUGUGCAGAUCAAAUUAACUCACUUCAGUCUCACAACAGCCCCCAGGGACAGGCCCGCAGGCGCGUUAAGGGCGGGGAUGUAGCUCACGACAUGCCCAAGGUCAUGCGCUAUGAGCGACAGGACAGCAGCCUGAACCCCGGUGGUCCGGCGCUAAGGUCCACGCUCUUCACCACCACGUCCCUCACACCAUCCCGGAGUCGUCGGCGCCAGCCACCAGUGAGGCCAGCUUCCUGGAGUCCAGGUCCUCCAGGGAAGCUCUGUUCUGAACUCCAGCACUAGUGUCUGCCUCAGUUUCCUCUCUAUGAUAAUAAUAAUUUAAGUAAUACUAGGUAAUGUUCCACAUGCUGCACAUAAAUCACCUCACUUAAUUUGCAUAACAUUUACAAAACAAGUUCUAUCAUUAUACCCAUUUUGCAGAUGAGAAAACUAGGCAGAGAGGCAUUCAGGUAGCUAGUAAAUGGUAGAGCAGGGAUUUGAACCCAGGACACACGGCUUCAAAGUCUAAGCUCAGUGUCACCCCCAUACAAGAGGAGAAUAAUGUGAUGUCCACACACUGUAGCCGUGAAGAUUAAAGGGGAUGAUGCAUGUGAGGGCCAGACCUCGGGAGACAAAGCUCAGGUUCUUACAGUGAUUUCACAAUUCUGCCCGACAGGCCUCACCAGGCUCACUUGGGGAAGUUACUGAGCCUCACUAAGCCUCAGUUUUCUCCUCUGGAAAGUGAAGAUAAUAACAUUAAAUGUGCUCUCAUGCUGGAAACUUAAGAAUACCUGCUUAGUGCUUAGUACAGGGCCUGGCACAAGGUAAAUGCUCAAAAAGAUUUUGAGGUCAGUAUUUAAUCAUUAAUAAGCCCUCAAUCAAACUAGAUUCCUUCUUAGACACCUCCAGAGAUCACAAAGACUUCUCAAAGCAAGUUCUGCCCUCUAAGGUCCCCUAUAGCUUUCUUAAGUCAUUAAUGAGAAGGAAGGCUGGGAGAUGAAUUUGUGGCCGAUAAACUAAAAACCCAUCCGUUUUUCUUUCAAGCUUCUGUUCUACAAAACUUGCAAACUGUGUAGUGUCUGACAGCAGCAAAAUUAUAACAUCCAAGUUUUGCCAGGUCAUGGCAGCAACUGCUCCUGCUGGUGGCGGGGUGGCGACUCACCACACCUGAGUCCAUCCUUGCAAGGGCCUCACAGUGUCCAACGCCUGAAGCCAGCUACAGGCGCACAUACAUGUCUGAGAAAGAGGGGACAAGCUUGAGGAAACUUACAUUUAGGAAAUGGGAAGAAUAAAAUACAGAGAAGGACCAGAAGGAGGAGAACUAGGACAGAGAUUCAGGUCAAAAAAAUAGAAGGAGGUGGGCUUCCCUGGUGGCGCAGUGGUUGAGAGUCCGCCUGCCGAUGCAGGGGACGCGGGUUCGUGCCCCGGUCUGGGAAGAUCCCACAUGCAACGGAGCGGCUGGGCCCAUGAGCCUUGGCCGCUGAGCCUGCGCGCCCGGAGCCUGUGCUCCGCAACGGGAGAGGCCACAACAGUGAGAGGCCCGCGUACAGCAAAAAAAAAAAAAAAAAAAGAAGGAGGCAUUUAGGAAGCUCUAUGUGACAUGGCUGACGUUCACUAAACCAUUCAGAGGUCACUCAGUGGAUACUUACUGCGUGCCCAUAAUGUGCCAGGUAGUCCUGGGUGUUGCGGAUAUAACAGUUAAAGACAGAUUUUGAGAGAGACGGGCAGCCAUAGAUUUUUGUCUGAUUUGCCUAACAGAUAAAAUUCCUUGCCCACAUGAAGUUUACAUUCUACUGAGGGUUGUAGGUGGAAGACAAAAGAAAACAUUUAGCAUGUUAGAUGGUGGAAAACAGCAAGGAGGAAGAGCAGGAAAGGAGCGCAGGGAGAGCGGUGCCAGGUGCCGCGGAGGGGCUGCUACGGCUUCAAAAUGCCGACCAGGGAUGGCGCCACUGAGAAAGGGACCUUUGAGCAGAGACCCAAGGGAGGCAGACACGUGAUAAUCGAAGAGCACUCCAGGCAAGGAAUGCAAGUGCAAAGUCCCGAGCUCGCCUAAAGUUUUUGGAAAAUGCGGAAGGAGCCAACGUGGCAGAAGCUGGGGGAGGGACUGGAGAGCAGGAAUAACGGGAGAAGAGGUCCAGGAAGUGACACGGCACUAACAGCACCGGGGAGUCCUGAUCCCAAGGAAGCAGGAGAAGGCCAAGUUAUUGUUAAUGUUGUCCCUGCAAAGUGGGCGCCCUUGGCGUCAAGAGUCAUCCUUGUUAACAAGCGCCAGGACAUUUACACACCUGCAGGCACAGCACACUGUAUCAUUCCCUGGCCGAGGAAUUCAAACAUUCCAGAGUCUCGUCCCCACCCUCUGGAGGGGGAGCUCGGACUGAAGGGGACACUUACAGGAACUUGCCUUCCUCUCCGAUGGGCACCUAUAAGGGCUCAUUAAACACUUGAUGAACGAAGCAGAAUCUCCCAGUGGUGGAUGAGCGGUGCCCUGAUAUAAGCGACAGUGCAGGGUGCUCCAGGAGGCCGCCCUCGGGGGCACCAUUCGGGACAGAGGCGUGCAGGUGGUGAACUCGGGCAAAAUGGCGAGAAACUUAAUAAGCCCCAGCUGUAUAUAAAGUCUUGUUACUAAAUAUCAUUAGAUGUUCAGGCAGGAAGAAUGAACUGAAAAAACAGGGACUUCCCUGGUGGCGCAGUGGUUAAGAAUCCGCCUGCCAAUGCAGGGGACACAGGUUCGAGCCCUGGUCUGGGAGGAUCCCACAUGCCGCGGAACAACUAAGCCCAUGCGCCACAACUACUGAGCCCGCAUGCCACAACUGCUGAAGCCCACGUGCCUAGAGCCCAUGCUCCGCAACAAAGAGAGGCCACCGCAAUGAGAAGCCUGUGCGCCGCAACAAAGAGU
Long non-coding RNA from Physeter macrocephalus (sperm whale), 5773 nucleotides. RefSeq lists it as uncharacterized. Lineage: Eukaryota; Metazoa; Chordata; Mammalia; Artiodactyla; Physeteridae. The record is from RefSeq and is a predicted model, not a curated record. The transcript is spliced from 3 exons.